GUGGAUGUUCUGCAUCUUUCUGACACAUGUAUUUUUGCUUCAUCUUCUCAUGAGAAUUGAAUUUCUCAAUCCUGGAUAUAAAAAAUUUAGUAAUAAUGUAAACAGAAGGAAGGCACACUAGGGAAAAGAGACUGGAAAGAUAAAGAAAACUAUGUUCUAUUUUGUAUGGGGGGAAAAAGUUAGAAUAUUAAAAUGAUACAGAUUGUGUUUUCGAAUAGUUGCAAACACAUAAUGUCUUAGCUCUAUUUCUGUGACAAAAUACCUGAGAAAAACAGCCUAAAGGAGAAAAUAUUUAUUCUGGCUCAUGGUUUCAGAGGUUUCAGUCCAUAGUUUAUUGGCUCCAUGUUUAGGCCUAUGUGAGGUAGAGUGUGGUGGUAGGGAGGGUAUGGACUCACCUCAUAGCAGCUAGCAAGUGAAGAGAAAGAAAGAAAGAGUGAGAAAGAAAGAAACAGACGGAGAUGGUGGGCAGGGACAUGGUAUGAUUAACCCCUCAAGCACAAGUUCCCAAUGACCUAUCCACUUCCUCCAACUAGACUCUGCCUCCUAAUGUUUCCACCACCUCCCAAUAGAUCAUUCAGCUAUGAAUCCACCAAUGGAAACGUGGAUGUGUAACCGAUGUGAUUCUGCAAUCUGUAUUUGGGGUAAAAAUGGGAGUUCAUAACCCACUUGAAUCAAAUGUAUGACAUAUGAUAUGUCAAGAGCUUUGUAAUGUUUUGAACAACCAAUAAAAAAAAC
RNAcentral lists this long non-coding RNA (735 nucleotides) under Marmota monax (woodchuck). Lineage: Eukaryota; Metazoa; Chordata; Mammalia; Rodentia; Sciuridae. The record is from RNAcentral.